AGAGGAACCCAGAAAGGUAAAAUUAAGAAAAUAGGAGAAAAUUAUUUUUCCAAAUUUAUAGUUUUUGAAAUGGAAUAAGAUGUACUGGGUUUUAUUUGAGUACUUCAUUUGAUGUUUCACCCGUUAAUUCUUUUUUUUUUAUUGCAUGCGUUGGAAUUUUCCAGAUUAUUCUUUCUGGGUUUUGUUAAAUGUGGAGAUUGACAAUGACCUCACCGUUUGCUUUCUUCUUUUAAUCAAUUUAUGGGAGGCUUGUGAAUUGUACCUAAUUUUUUUUUACACUACUUUCUAGAUUUGAAACAGAAAUUGCCGUCAUCACAUACAACCUCUCCACCAUGAAAUUCUCCGACUUCUCUGCCUUGCGUUAUCUCGUACCAUGUUUUUCUACACCAACAUUUUCCACUUUAUUGAAGCAC
This 413-nucleotide long non-coding RNA is filed under the name Olea europaea subsp. europaea. Lineage: Eukaryota; Viridiplantae; Streptophyta; Magnoliopsida; Lamiales; Oleaceae. The record is from RNAcentral.